Molecule: ribosomal RNA, 253 nt
Filed under: uncultured bacterium
Lineage: Bacteria
Description: partial 16S ribosomal RNA
Rfam family: Bacterial small subunit ribosomal RNA
Source: RNAcentral
UACGGGGGGUGCAAGCGUUGUCCGGAUUUACUGGGCGUAAAGGGCGCGUAGGCGGUUGUAUCAGUCGGGCUUAUAAGUGCGGGGCUCAACCCCGUGAUGGGUUCGGGACGGUAUGACUGGGGCGCGGUCGAGGGAGACGGAAUGCCGGGUGUAGUGGUGAAAUGCGUAGAGAUCCGGCGGAACACCGGUGGUGAAGGCGGUCUCCUAGGCCGAGGGCCGACGCUGAGGCGCGAGAGCGUGGGGAGCAAACAGG